ACGUAGGGUGCGAGCGUUAAUCGGAAUUACUGGGCGUAAAGCGUGCGCAGGCGGCUUCGUAAGACAGAUGUGAAAUCCCCGGGCUUAACCUGGGAACUGCGUUUGUGACUGCGAGACUUGAGUGCGGCAGAGGGGGGUGGAAUUCCACGUGUAGCAGUGAAAUGCGUAGAGAUCCGGAGGAACACCAGAGGCGAAGGCGACACCCUGGGCCGUACCUGACGCUAAGACGCGACAGCACGGGGAGCGAACGG
Molecule: ribosomal RNA, 251 nt
Filed under: uncultured prokaryote
Description: partial 16S ribosomal RNA
Rfam family: Bacterial small subunit ribosomal RNA
Source: RNAcentral